UAAUAAGUGUUUUAUGGCACUUUGUUAAAUCCAUAUCCACCUUGUGUGCAAUGUCAGCAGGUCGGUUUCUUUUCGUCAAGAAAAAAGGAUCGACCAAACAUCAUACCCUUUAUCAUUCUAAUUGACUUUGUCUGAAUAACUAUUAUGAAUAAACAGAUUCAAAUA
RNAcentral lists this unclassified non-coding RNA (165 nucleotides) under soil metagenome. RNAcentral's name for it is "partial internal transcribed spacer 1". The record is from RNAcentral.